GUGGGGAAUAUUGGACAAUGGGCGCAAGCCUGAUCCAGCAAUGCCGCGUGUGUGAAGAAGGCCUGAGGGUUGUAAAGCACUUUCAGUGGGGAGAAAGAUACUAUCGCUAAUAUCGGUAGUGGAUGAUGUUACCCACAGAAGAAGCACCGGCUAACUCUGUGCCAGCAGCCGCGGUAAUACAGAGGGUGCGAGCGUUAAUCGGAAUUACUGGGCGUAAAGGGUGCGUAGGUGGUUUGGUAAGUUAGAUGUGAAAUUCCCGGGCUUAACCUGGGGACUGCGUCUAAUACUGCUGAGCUAGAGUAUUGUAGAGGAAAGUGGAAUUUCCGGUGUAGCAGUGAAAUGCGUAGAUAUCGGAAGGAACAUCAGUGGCGAAGGCGACUUUCUGGACAAAUACUGACACUGAGGCACGAAAGCAUGGGGAGCAAACAGGAUUAGAAACCCCGGUAGUCC
This 450-nucleotide ribosomal RNA is filed under the name uncultured bacterium. RNAcentral describes it as "bacterial SSU rRNA". It matches the Rfam family "Bacterial small subunit ribosomal RNA", at positions 354 to 796 of the family's 1533-position model. The record is from RNAcentral.